CGGACGGGUGAGUAAUGUCUGGGAAACUGCCUGAUGGAGGGGGAGUAACUACUGGAAACGGUAGCUAAUACCGCAUAACGUCGCAAGACCAAAGAGGGGGACCUUCGGGCCUCUUGCCAUCGGAUGUGCCCAGAUGGGAUUAGCUAGUUGGUGAGGUAAUGGCUCACCAAGGCGACGAUGCGUAGCCGACCUGAGAGGGUGAUCGGCCACAUUGGGACUGAGACACGGCCCAGACUCCUACGGGAGGCAGCAUG
Molecule: ribosomal RNA, 254 nt
Filed under: uncultured bacterium
Lineage: Bacteria
Description: partial 16S ribosomal RNA
Rfam family: Bacterial small subunit ribosomal RNA
Source: RNAcentral